CUCAAAGAACUGUCUGGAUGAGGUGGAGUUUAAAGCACUGAUAUCUGAUGUGAUCUUCUUAAACUUCAAGUCUGUUAGAGAAAGAAUAAGAAACACUCACAAUGAUGCUCCAAUCUGUCAUUCUGCUUUCUGCUUUUGCAUAUGCAACGUAUGGAAAUGAAAUUAAACCAACCAAAACAAAGGAUUUUGCUGAUGAGGGUUCAAAUGUUACAUUAUCCUGCAGUUAUUCAUCUGCAUACCAUCUUCACUGGUAUCGUCAGUAUCCUGGAUCAGCACCUGAAUUCAUUGUGCUCCUUUCAGAGAGUGCACAAGCUCAGAAGUCUUUUGUAGAUCCCAGAUUCACUGCCAAAGUCAGAAAAGGCCAAGAAAACCAUGUGGAUCUAGAGAUCACCAAUGCAUCUGUAUCAGACUCUGCUCUGUACUACUGCGCCCUGCAGCCCACAUAUCCCGGAUCAGCUCCUGAGUUCAUUGUGCUCAUCUCAGAUGGUGUAAAAGAAGCUCAGGAUUCUAAUGUAGAUUCCAGAUUUACAACCAAAUUUACUACAGUCAAUAAAGAAAACCAUGUGGAUCUGGAGAUCUCCUCUGCUGCUGUAUCAGACUCUGCUCUGUACUACUGUGCCCUGCAGCCCACAUGUGCCGGGGGCAAGACAGAGUUGAACAGCCUUUGA
Molecule: non-coding RNA, 668 nt
Organism: Labeo rohita (rohu)
Lineage: Eukaryota; Metazoa; Chordata; Actinopteri; Cypriniformes; Cyprinidae
Source: the annotation of a RefSeq genome assembly